AAAUUCCUUUUUUGAGAGGAAUAUUAUUUUUAUUAAUAUGUACAUUUAGCAAUAUCAAAAAUAGUAGUCUGUAUUUGAGUGUUUGUGCCUGUAGAUUUUUUAAAAGUAUUUUAAUACUUUUGUGUGUCAUCAUUUUUUUAGUGAAAUUGGCACUCUCCUAGUUAAAUUCACCUUCUUCAUUCUUUGACCUCACUUCUGUUUCCCUUUCUUUUGAUCUUCCCCUUUAUCCCAUCUUAGCUUGUGGUCAUCCUAGAUCUUAUCUUUACCAAAACAAUGAUCAUUUCUUAAGUUUUUGAUUUCAGACGUCUCAUGUGGUGACCUUCCCCUCCCAUCAUUCUGACUCACCCGAGUUAACCCCACUCUAAUAGUCCUCCUUCACUCAGACCUCAAGUACAUCAACCUCUACACUGUUGAUGUCCUUAUUUCUCUCCUUAAAUAGUUUACGUUCCAUGGUCUGUCACUAUAAUCAUAAAUCAUCUCUUUUCCUAUUCACGUUUUAUAUAUUAGCAUAGUCUAGAAACUAUGGAACUCAGGGUAUAUUAAAAAGCACAGAUAAAUAAGUUAAAAGCCUUCAAAUUAUGUUUGUCAGUUCGCUUUUUUUUUGGUCCUUUUAACACAUGCUAUUCUAGAAUGUUAAAUGAUGGUCAAGGAUUCUACCUGCCCUUUCUUCCUCAUUUUUCUGUCUUUGCAAUGGAGAGAAUCAAUGAUAUAAGUAUGUGUAAUUUCUUUUUUUGGUGAAAGGAAUGGCUGUCUCAGUAAUGGAGAAUCAAUGAAAUGCAUGUAUGCCAGUAUAUAGCCAGAUAUUAUUUACAUUUUAGUUUGGCUGCAAGCAAGACUAGGGUUUGUUGCCUUUUUUCUUGCUUCAGACUUUGAGACAUAAUUUUAGAUCCCUGAAUUCAUCCUAUUUUGUUCAGGAAAAAGAAAUCACUUGGGAAAGUUAGAAUUAGGUAAGGGGCUGAGAGAGAAUUUCUAUGUACAGCAUUCUCCUCUUUGCACCAUCAGGCCAAAGCCAGCAAGUAGAUUCUCUGGUAAGUGAGCAUUUUUCCUGGUUGGGUUUCUUUCAUCAGCAUUUACAACCCUUUCCAUACCUGCUCCCACUGUCAUCCUCCAACAUUCAUAGUUAAAUGUCAGCAUAAAUAGCUUUGGGCACAUAAGUAAAGACAGUAAACUCCAAAUUAUUUAUUCUUAGGGAGAAAGUAAGUCCCUAUUAAGACAGUGGCAUAAAUAUAGCUCAGUCAAUAAAGAUUUUUGACGCUGGGAGGGGAGAAUCAUAAGAGGAAGAGGAUAGAUGUAUGAAGUAUAGAGCUUCUGUCAAAAUCAACUCUAGGUUGCUUAGCACAUACAUGUUUGUACAUAUGUAUACAUGCACACACUCUCAAUGAAGUAGAGGGACAGUAACUCUUUUUCUGAGGUGAUGUCUCCCUAGAGACCUUGGAAAUGGCAAAGGUCUUUAAAGGGUGCCGUGGACCUUUUGUCCUUACUGCCCUAACUUCCAUGCAAUAGGAUAGAACUCUGAAGAGAAAGUAGUAAGCAUUAAGUCUUGCUCUCUGUGCUCUGAGAAAAGGAUAAAGAUGAUUUUACCUUUUGGAAAGAAAACUCUGGAGUGUAACUAUUCCAACCCUUCCCUGUCAUCAUUUCCAGUGUGUUGUUUUAGAAAGUUAUGUGAUAACCUGGCCUGAACUGGCACAUGUCUAGAAGGAGAAGUUUUCUGUUUUUACCUGCUUCUGAUACCUUUCUAAUUCUAGCUUGAGAGGAUUGUGGACAAUUUCAUGGAAAGCAAAAUAGAAUUAUACAUAAGAGACAAACUUAGGUCCUUGUAAAAAACCUUUUAAAUUCAUCGGUUUCUAACCCAGUGCUCCAUGACUCUCUUUCUGCAAAGAAUGAUUGAGUGUGUUUUUAUAUCUGAUUCAGAUAAAAAACCAGUCUUAUUUGCAAUUUGAGUAAAGGCAUACCUUGGAGAUAUUGCAGGUUCGGUUCCAGAUCACCACAGUAAAGAAAACAACAUAUAUGUAAGUGAGACCACCAUGGCUGGAUGGAAAGAGCGUCAGUGUCCUGGAUUCAAGUUCGGCCCUGACCUAAUUAAUUAUGUGAUUUUGGGCAGGGCCUUUAGCUUCUCUGGUCCUCUGUGUACACUAAAAAUUGAAACAUUAACACCCAACUGAGAUUAUGUAUAUGUAACGUGGAGAUAAUAUAUAUGUAAAUCAGGUCAUGUCACUCAUUUGGUCAAAACUUUAUACCUCCCAGUAUCCCAGUAAAAUCCAAAGUCCUUCA
This is a long non-coding RNA of Pteropus alecto (black flying fox), 2271 nucleotides long. RefSeq lists it as uncharacterized. The record is from RefSeq and is a predicted model, not a curated record. Lineage: Eukaryota; Metazoa; Chordata; Mammalia; Chiroptera; Pteropodidae. The transcript has 2 exons.